This 162-nucleotide ribosomal RNA is filed under the name Rhinocladiella sp. MA 4765. Its description in RNAcentral is "5.8S ribosomal RNA". It matches the Rfam family "5.8S ribosomal RNA". Rfam says of the family: 5.8S ribosomal RNA (5.8S rRNA) is a component of the large subunit of the eukaryotic ribosome. It is transcribed by RNA polymerase I as part of the 45S precursor that also contains 18S and 28S rRNA. Lineage: Eukaryota; Fungi; Ascomycota; Eurotiomycetes; Chaetothyriales; Herpotrichiellaceae. The record is from RNAcentral.
AUAAGUAAAAACUUUCAACAACGGAUCUCUUGGUUCUGGCAUCGAUGAAGAACGCAGCGAAAUGCGAUAAGUAAUGCGAAUUGCAGAAUCCGUGAGUCAUCGAAUCUUUGAACGCACAUUGCGCCCUUUGGUAUUCCGAAGGGCAUGCCUGUUCGAGCGUCA